UGUCGACUAUAAAUACGACACUCAUUUGGCCAAAUAAAUCAACAAAAGAGUACGCUAAGCAUUUCCAUAUAACGAACCAAAAUGUCUAGGAAAAGUGAAUGGCUUGAGCUUGUGUUCGUAGAAUAUUAUGAAGUUGCAGAUAUAAUACAAAAGGAGAAUCCUAACGUCAAACCACAAAAGAUUCUUGCUGGGAGUCC
This is a long non-coding RNA of Cucurbita maxima (winter squash), 197 nucleotides long. RefSeq lists it as uncharacterized. NCBI's taxonomy places the organism in Eukaryota, Viridiplantae, Streptophyta, Magnoliopsida, Cucurbitales, Cucurbitaceae. The transcript is spliced from 2 exons. The record is from RefSeq and is a predicted model, not a curated record.